Non-coding RNA from Pelobates cultripes (western spadefoot toad), 140 nucleotides. The record is from the annotation of a GenBank genome assembly. NCBI's taxonomy places the organism in Eukaryota, Metazoa, Chordata, Amphibia, Anura, Pelobatidae.
UAUAAAUUAGGCUGUGUGUGUGUGCGUCUGCUUUCACUUAAUGUCUAGCCAGUGCGUCUUCUUCCCUAUAGGCAUACCUUUAAGGAAGAUGAUGGACUGGGUAGACAUUAAGUGAAAGCAGACACACACACACACACACA